This is a long non-coding RNA of Ictalurus punctatus (channel catfish), 2690 nucleotides long. The record is from Ensembl. NCBI's taxonomy places the organism in Eukaryota, Metazoa, Chordata, Actinopteri, Siluriformes, Ictaluridae.
CUGGUCUCGGACACGUGCUCUGACAGGGACGUUGAAGAUUCAUCUAAAGUGAAAUAAACAAAACACAAUUAAAGGAAGAAUCUGAUUUAAAAAAAAGAGAAGACAUAACGUAUACUAUCCUAUCAUCUCCUCCCCCAAAAUGGAAUCACUACAGAAUGGGAUGCUACAGGAAGUGACUUUUAUACGUAUACAUGUAAAAAGAAGUGUUUCCUGUCAAGCCACCUUACAGAUAACUCGCUGAAGGUAACUGCAUUAUUGAAAACUUCUUGUGUAACUGAAAGAGUUACAUCAUGCUGCGGAGCGCGACGCGGCACGACUGCGGCCCCGGCAUCGUAAGCAGCCGUGUAGUUCAGAGCGAAGAGAUGGAUUCACUAUGACUCAUAUACAGAACUCGCCAUACUCUCCACCACUUCCUAACAUCCUGUUUCCUCUCGUCCCUCCCUUCUCAUUUCCUCGGUCCUCUAUCUCUAGUAGUUCUCUUCAUCGUCACGUCUAACUGCAUGCAUGCGUUUAUUUAUAAACAAAAACAAAAAGAUGUCCGUCAGUGUCCUACAUGGGAGAGUCUUCAGAAAAUAGGAGGUCUUAAUAACUUCGAGAGCGAGAGAGAGCGAGAGAGCGAGAGAGAGAGAGAGAGAGAGAAAAUUAUAAAGUUUUUUUUUUUUUUUUAAAUUGUGUUCUUUAAUAGAUAAUUGCUGUCAUGUAAGAGGAAUAAAACACUUUGACACAUUGUAGCUCCACUUUAUCACACCACUGAGUCGUUGACACUGAGUGUUUUGUUAGCAGGACAACUAGCAUAUCACACUAUAUAUAUUUUAAUGCUUACUGAUAAUGGACCUUUUAAGUCCAUUGGAAGACGACCAUUUUAGCCAACUUUGGAGCUCUAUUCCUGGCUAAAGUGGCACCUCGGACGCAGCCACGGAGCACAGGAUGUUUCAACUGAUCCUUUUCUGUUUGACGGGCCGACCACGGGGCGCUCUGCUGCCUGAGCUCUUGCCUCACCCUCACAAAUGCGAGCAGCACUCAGGAGUAGCUACCACAAAACUACCACAAAACUGAGUGCAUGUGUGUAUUUAUGUCCCAUAAUACUCAGAGACACAGCAGCUACUCUCUUCUAUUCCUCGCUUUCUCACUCACUCGCCCAGUCUCUGUCUCGAUUUCUCUCUCUCUGUCUGUGUCUCUCUGUGUCUCUCUCCCUUUCUGUCUCCCUCUCUUGUCUCAGCCUUAGAUCAAAUCACUCAGUGUCUCCCUCUGUCCUUCAUCCCUUCAGUGUCUCUCUCUGUCAAGCAGUGUCUCUCUCAGUCCCUUUCAGUGUCUCGCUGUACCUCAGUGCCUCUUUCUUUCAAUCAGUGUCUUUCUCUGUCCCUUUCAGUGUCUCUCUCUGUUACUCAGUGUCUCUCUCUGUCACUCAGUGUCUCUCUCAGUAUCUCUCUCUGUCCCUCUCAGUGUCUCUCUCUGUCCCUUUAAGUGUCUCUCUCUGUCACUCAAUGUCUCUCUCUGUCCCUUUCAGUGUCUCUCUCUGUCCCUCUCAGUGUCUCUCUCAGUAUCUCUCUCUGUCCCUUUAAGUGUCUCUCUCUGUCACUCAAUGUCUCUCUCUGUCCCUCUCAGUGUCUCUCUCAGUAUCUCUCUCUGUCCUUUAAGUGUCUCUCUCUGUCACUCAAGUGUCUCUCGCUGUCCCUUUCAGUGUCUCUCUCUGUCCCUCUCAGUGUCUUUCUCUGUGUCUCUCUCUGUCCCUUUCAGUGUCUCUCUCUGUCCCUCUCAGUGUCUCUCUCAGUAUCUCUUUCUGUCCCUUUAAGUGUCUCUCUGUCACUCAAGUGUCUCUCUCUGUCCCUUUCAGUGUCUCUCUCUGUCACUCUCAGUGUCUCUCUCUGUCCCUCCCAAACACACUCCCACACACUCCCACACACUCCCAAACACUCCCACACACUCCCAUACACUCCCACACACUCCCACACACUCCCAUACACUCCCACACACUCCCAUACACUCCCACACACUCCCAUACACUCCCACACACUCAGACACACUCCCACACUCUCACACACUCUCACACACUCUCACACACUCCCAAACACUUCCAUGCACUCUCACACACUCCAACACACUCAGACACAAUCUCACACACUCCCAAGCACUCCAACACACUUGAACACACUCCCGCUCCAACAUAUACACACACACACACACACACACACACACACACACACACUCCCAUACACUCAGACACUCCUAAACACUCCCAAGCACUCAGACAUGCUCUCAUACACUCCCCCACACUCAGACACACUCUGAUUACAGACCUGUGGGUGUUUUCUAAAGAGCAGCAGUGGCCGUGUGCUGGGGUUGGUGGCUGUGUGCAGGUGGAUGUCUUUUUGAUGGAUUGUAUGUGUGCUUUAAUGACACUUUGAUCUGCCUGGCUGUCUCCUCCUGCACACUGCUGAAAUCUUAUUUUCUCCAUUUUAUGGCUCCAUCUCUCGCUGAAGAGGAGCAGAGCGACACAAAUUGAUGGAUUGGCUCAUUAGUAGAGCAUUGUUUCUCUGUUAACAGCUGUGAUGUUUUUAAUAAGUUCUGAGCAGGUUGCAGUACACACACAGGGCCUGAUAUCAUGAUAAAUACGCAAUAAAGUACAAUAAUCAAUAACGGGAAGGUUUGAUGACGCAGAGAAGCUGUUACCACACCAAAGUCGAUUAUUU